ACCUGGCUGGCUCAGUCAGUAGAGCAUGAGACUCUUGAUCUCAGGGUCAUGAGUUGAAGCCCCACGUUAGGGG
Molecule: transfer RNA, 73 nt
Organism: Felis catus (domestic cat)
Lineage: Eukaryota; Metazoa; Chordata; Mammalia; Carnivora; Felidae
Rfam family: tRNA
About the family: Transfer RNA (tRNA) molecules are approximately 80 nucleotides in length. Their secondary structure includes four short double-helical elements and three loops (D, anti-codon, and T loops). Further hydrogen bonds mediate the characteristic L-shaped molecular structure. tRNAs have two regions of fundamental functional importance: the anti-codon, which is responsible for specific mRNA codon recognition, and the 3' end, to which the tRNAs corresponding amino acid is attached (by aminoacyl-tRNA synthetases). tRNAs cope with the degeneracy of the genetic code in two manners: having more than one tRNA (with a specific anti-codon) for a particular amino acid; and 'wobble' base-pairing, i.e. permitting non-standard base-pairing at the 3rd anti-codon position.
Source: Rfam